GACGAACGCUGGCGGCGUGCCUAAUACAUGCAAGUAGAACGCUGAAGGAGGAGCUUGCUUCUCUGGAUGAGUUGCGAACGGGUGAGUAACGCGUAGGUAACCUGCCUGGUAGCGGGGGAUAACUAUUGGAAACGAUAGCUAAUACCGCAUAAGAGUAGAUGUCGCAUGACAUUUGCUUAAAAGGUGCACUUGCAUCACUACCACAUGGACCUGCGUUGUAUUAGCUAGUUGGUGAGGUAACGGCUCACCAAGGCAACGAUACAUAGCCGACCUGAGAGGGUGAUCGGCCAAACUGGGACUGAGACACGGCCCAGACGCCUACGGGAGGCAGCAGUAGGGAAUCUUCGGCAAUGGACGGAAGGCUGACCGAGCAACGCCGCGUGAGUGAAGAAGGUUGUCGGAUCGUAAAGCUCUGUUGUAAGAGAAGAACGAGGGUGAGAGUGGAAAGUUCACACUGUGACGGUAUCUGACCAGAAAGGGACGGCUAACUACGUG
RNAcentral lists this ribosomal RNA (495 nucleotides) under uncultured bacterium. RNAcentral describes it as "partial 16S ribosomal RNA". It matches the Rfam family "Bacterial small subunit ribosomal RNA", at positions 28 to 507 of the family's 1533-position model. The record is from RNAcentral.